Schistosoma mansoni is the source of this 45-nucleotide non-coding RNA. NCBI's taxonomy places the organism in Eukaryota, Metazoa, Platyhelminthes, Trematoda, Strigeidida, Schistosomatidae. The record is from Rfam.
AUCUAGACGACGAGUCUGAAAUGGGACGAAACGCGAUUCCUGGAU